UACGGGGGGGGGCAAGCGUUGUUCGGACUUACUGGGCGUAACGGGCUCGUAGGUGGCCAACUCAGUCGGAUGUGAAAUCCCCAGGCUCAACUUGGGAACUGCAUCCGAUACUGGAUGGCUUGAAUCCGGGAGAGGGAUGCAGAAUUCCAGGUGUAGCGGUGAAAUGCGUAGAUAUCUGGAGGAACACCGGUGGCGAAGGCGGCAUCCUGGACCGAGAUUGACGCUGAGGCGCGAAAGCCAGGGGAGCAAACGGG
Molecule: ribosomal RNA, 254 nt
Filed under: uncultured bacterium
Lineage: Bacteria
Description: partial 16S ribosomal RNA
Rfam family: Bacterial small subunit ribosomal RNA
Source: RNAcentral